AGGUUUAGGCAUUUUCUUAUCACAAUGGAUGCCGUCCCACCAGCCCCCCCCCGUUUUCGUUACAGUAACUACUGCAACUGUAACUGCAACUAGUGGUAGUACUGCUACAGAUACUACUACUUUUACUUCUACUCCCACCAGCCAGACGGCAUCUUCUAAACUAAGAGUAUACGUGCGGAUGAAGAUAAACAGCAGUGAGGAUCUGACCAACCCUACAGUAAUGGAGAACUUUCUUCAGAAGAUUAAACUUUCCAGCAUACAGUUCUCAAAGGUGCAACUAAAGUGGACUCUCCAACCACAGUGGGAAACUUAACAGAGGGUGUCAGUAAUGCAUUUUACGACCUUCUGGCAUGAAGAAGACAUGGCCAAAGGAGAGGAAGAAGAAAAGGAAAGAAAAGGAAAAGAAAGGCUCUGGUGUAGGGUUUUUUUGUGUGUGUGUGUGUGUGUGUGUUUGUUUUCUGGGUUAGCAUUAUGUAAGGACUUUGGUGUUUGAGAAUACAUCUAGCUAUCAUGUAACGUUUCCUUACCUGUUUAUUUAUUUUCUACAUCACAUUUUCGUUCUGGGAAAAUGGACGAUAUUGUACUUGGUGAAAAUCAGAGUGGGGUCCAGCUGUAGCCAAAUAAAUCAUUAUUAGAGAGUACAUUUUGGUAGAGAUGAGAGGUUUUAACAUUAUCCAUUUGCAGAGCCGGAGCACUAGACCUGCAGCAAUAGUUAGACCUGCUGAAGUUGCAAGACACCAUAUUUAAGUUUUGCGCCCCCUAGCAUCAGGGAAUGUAAUAUAAAGUGAAUUCAGGUAUAUUGAGACAGGGGGACAUAAACCGGACCUGAUAAGUGAUAAGUCAAAACUUAUGUUACUAAGUCCUUGUAGUGGAAUGCAUGAUGGAAAUAACAAGACUUAAUUAAUGUUAUGUCACAGAAUUUGAUUUAAGCAUCAAACUGUUUUUCUAGUUUAUUUGUGGUUUUCUGCUGUAAUUUUCAUCGAGUUAUCAAAAUAUUGAAGAUUUUCUGAACACUUAUUGUUGUUGGGUGAUG
Pangasianodon hypophthalmus (striped catfish) is the source of this 1033-nucleotide long non-coding RNA. RefSeq lists it as uncharacterized. The transcript is spliced from 4 exons. The record is from RefSeq and is a predicted model, not a curated record. NCBI's taxonomy places the organism in Eukaryota, Metazoa, Chordata, Actinopteri, Siluriformes, Pangasiidae.